RNAcentral lists this ribosomal RNA (600 nucleotides) under uncultured bacterium. Its description in RNAcentral is "bacterial SSU rRNA". It matches the Rfam family "Bacterial small subunit ribosomal RNA", at positions 85 to 681 of the family's 1533-position model. The record is from RNAcentral.
ACCUGAUUCAGCGGCGGACGGGUGAGUAAUGCCUAGGAAUCUGCCCGAUAGUGGGGGACAACGUUUCGAAAGGAACGCUAAUACCGCAUACGUCCUACGGGAGAAAGUGGGGGAUCUUCGGACCUCACGCUAUCGGAUGAGCCUAGGUCGGAUUAGCUAGUUGGUGAGGUAAUGGCUCACCAAGGCGACGAUCCGUAACUGGUCUGAGAGGAUGAUCAGUCACACUGGAACUGAGACACGGUCCAGACUCCUACGGGAGGCAGCAGUGGGGAAUAUUGGACAAUGGGCGAAAGCCUGAUCCAGCCAUGCCGCGUGUGUGAAGAAGGUCUUCGGAUUGUAAAGCACUUUAAGUUGGGAGGAAGGGCAGUAAGCUAAUACCUUGCUGUUUUGACGUUACCAACAGAAUAAGCACCGGCUAACUUCGUGCCAGCAGCCGCGGUAAUACGAAGGGUGCAAGCGUUAAUCGGAAUUACUGGGCGUAAAGCGCGCGUAGGUGGUUCAGCAAGUUGGAUGUGAAAUCCCCGGGCUCAACCUGGGAACUGCAUCCAAAACUACUGAGCUAGAGUACGGUAGAGGGUGGUGGAAUUUCCUGUGUAGCGG